Molecule: ribosomal RNA, 253 nt
Filed under: uncultured bacterium
Lineage: Bacteria
Description: partial 16S ribosomal RNA
Rfam family: Bacterial small subunit ribosomal RNA
Source: RNAcentral
UACAGAGGGGGCAAGCGUUGUUCGGAAUUACUGGGCGUAAAGGGCGCGUAGGCGGCCUGCUAAGUCGAACGUGAAAUCCCCGGGCUCAACCCGGGAACUGCGUCCGAGACUGGCGGGCUUGAAUUCGGGAGAGGGAUGCAGAAUUCCAGGUGUAGCGGUGAAAUGCGUAGAUAUCUGGAGGAACACCGGUGGCGAAGGCGGCAUCCUGGACCGAUAUUGACGCUGAUGCGCGAAAGCCAGGGGAGCAAACGGG